RNAcentral lists this ribosomal RNA (433 nucleotides) under uncultured bacterium. Its description in RNAcentral is "partial 16S ribosomal RNA". It matches the Rfam family "Bacterial small subunit ribosomal RNA", at positions 29 to 507 of the family's 1533-position model. The record is from RNAcentral.
AACGAACGCUGGCGGCAUGCCUAACACAUGCAAGUCGAACGAGACCUUCGGGUCUAGUGGCGCACGGGUGCGUAACGCGUGGGAAUCUGCCCUUGGGUUCGGAAUAACAGUUGGAAACGACUGCUAAUACCGGAUGAUGACGUAAGUCCAAAGAUUUAUCGCCCAAGGAUGAGCCCGCGUAGGAUUAGCUAGUUGGUGAGGUAAAGGCUCACCAAGGCGACGAUUCUUAGCUGGUCUGAGAGGAUGAUCAGCCACACUGGGACUGAGACACGGCCCAGACUCCUACGGGAGGCAGCAGUGGGGAAUAUUGGACAAUGGGCGAAAGCCUGAUCCAGCAAUGCCGCGUGAGUGAUGAAGGCCUUAGGGUUGUAAAGCUCUUUUACCCGGGAUGAUAAUGACAGUACCGGGAGAAUAAGCUCCGGCUAACUCCGUG